RNAcentral lists this transfer RNA (71 nucleotides) under Holothuria leucospilota. RNAcentral describes it as "tRNA-Asn". It matches the Rfam family "tRNA". Rfam says of the family: Transfer RNA (tRNA) molecules are approximately 80 nucleotides in length. The record is from RNAcentral. Lineage: Eukaryota; Metazoa; Echinodermata; Holothuroidea; Aspidochirotida; Holothuriidae.
UGAGUUGAAGCUGAAAAAAUAGCAUUUGGCCGUUAACCAAAAGGAUGAAGGUUAAAUUCCUUUCAACUCAG